UAUUUAAUCGAUAUCCAUUUU
Non-coding RNA from Caenorhabditis elegans, 21 nucleotides. NCBI's taxonomy places the organism in Eukaryota, Metazoa, Nematoda, Chromadorea, Rhabditida, Rhabditidae. The record is from Ensembl.